Molecule: ribosomal RNA, 546 nt
Filed under: Epicoccum sp. GSM1_4_3
Lineage: Eukaryota; Fungi; Ascomycota; Dothideomycetes; Pleosporales; Didymellaceae
Description: eukaryotic LSU rRNA
Rfam family: 5.8S ribosomal RNA (bases 182-335)
Source: RNAcentral
GGAAUACGUUUCGUAGGUGACCUGCGGAAGGAUCAUUACCUAGAGUUUGUGGACUUCGGUCUGCUACCUCUUACCCAUGUCUUUUGAGUACCUUCGUUUCCUCGGCGGGUCCGCCCGCCGGUUGGACAACAUUCAAACCCUUUGCAGUUGCAAUCAGCGUCUGAAAAAACUUAAUAGUUACAACUUUCAACAACGGAUCUCUUGGUUCUGGCAUCGAUGAAGAACGCAGCGAAAUGCGAUAAGUAGUGUGAAUUGCAGAAUUCAGUGAAUCAUCGAAUCUUUGAACGCACAUUGCGCCCCUUGGUAUUCCAUGGGGCAUGCCUGUUCGAGCGUCAUUUGUACCUUCAAGCUCUGCUUGGUGUUGGGUGUUUUGUCUCGCCUCCGCGCGCAGACUCGCCUUAAAACAAUUGGCAGCCGGCGUAUUGAUUUCGGAGCGCAGUACAUCUCGCGCUUUGCACUCAUAACGACGACGUCCAAAAGUACAUUUUUACACUCUUGACCUCGGAUCAGGUAGGGAUACCCGCUGAACUUAAGCAUAUCAAUAAG